UUUUUAAAACCUACUAUCUACUGGCUGCCUAAAAAAAUACUAGUUUGAUCCAAUGAAUUAGAUUGACACACUGUUAGGAAUGCCCUUGCCGGUGAGUCCACCCUCUCUGGAGUAAUCUGUGGUGUUAGGAAAGAGUAAAGUCUUCCUUCCAAAUCUCUCAAAUGCUGCCAGCAGUUCACUAUCUGAAGUCCACUCGGGAGUAUCUCUCUGUCCAAGGUAAACCUCAUCAGUCGAAUGUCUUGAUAAAAUCUCAAUCAGUGAUACACCGAGUAGGGUUUGUAGCUGGGCUGUGAUUGUUUUCAGGAAGGCUACAUCUGGAUUUUUCGCAAGCUCAUCGUACUCAGGGGUCCCUGGCUCAGGCAUGAAUCGACGGCUUAUGGUGGGGCGGUUAGGGAGGUAGCCAGCAUAUGGAUAUUGCCCAAAAUUGACAGCUGCAUGGAGGGCCGAGGCUAUCCAUAUGAUAACGGUGCAUGUUUGUGUGACAUCAGGUAGUGUCUGCAUCUCAGGCCACCAUGGUUCAUCCUUCUUGUCACCAUGGCCGACAUUACGGAUCUCUGUCCACCAUGAUUGGAGUUCACUAUCACCUUGAAUCAAAUCAUCUGUGGGGUAGUAGAAAGCACAAUAUUCCUUGACCCAUGUUUCAAUUGCUGACCAGAUUUGUAGCCCAUCAACAGCAUAGGGAUAAUCUUCUAUCAGAAGUCUGAGGCCAUGUGGCUGGCUUGAAUCUUGAACUGCCACUCCUCUUGAUGAUAGCGAAGUUGGAUAGAUUUUAGUUUGGCUUCCGAUAGAAAGUAAAGAUAAGAGGGUAUUUUUAUGGUUUAAGGUUCGGUGCUUUACCUUUUGAUGAGAUCUGCAGGGAGUGCCUGCUCAGUGAAAACCCAGUUCUUGUAAACAAAAGAAGACAUUUCCAUUGCAUAUUUAGCUGGGAAAACAGUUUUCUCCAGUACUCCAUCAGCAUUGAUGAGGAUCUGCCUAGCCAAGGCAUUUAUAUUCAUCGUGUCACGAAAAUGAGGAUGCAAAAGCUUGUUGAUGGGGUGAAUAACACUCAAUUGUCUGUUUGUGGCAAUCACAAAUGGCUCUAUUACAGCAUGAGUGUUCAGCCUGCAAACAUGAGCAGAAUCAGUCCGGUGAAUUCUUAAUUAGAACAAGCUUCAAGUUAUGCCAUUAUGAAAGCCCUUUUGAUUUGGAAUCAUACCAGUGGCUAACAAGCUGGUGGUAUCCAGAAUCAUUUACAGCAGCAUAAGCUUUGGCCAGUUGCCAUACUGAGCCUUCAACACCAUGUUCUGCUGGGGUGAAAACCUUGCUGACAGCACCAUGAUGGUCCCCUUGUGGAUGUGGUAGACUCAACUCAAUUGCCAAUGGCUUCAAUGUCCCGUCAUCUUGAAGCAACAGGAUUGUUCUAGAGGCAUAAGUCUUUGUGCUGGUUGAGUUUAUUCGCCUCAGGUAGACAGACAACCUUGAGUGUUCCUUGAUUCUAAUGUUGAAUACAUGGUAUAGACAAGGACGUGAAAGAAAUGAAUCAUGAUUAGUACUUGAUCUACGGUUAGGCCAUUCAUGUUCUCUUCUAUUAACUCUUUUCUUAUUGAGCUGUUCUGAUUUCCAUAUGCUUUAGGGUCUAGCUUGCUGGCUGGAGGAAACUCCUGCAGGUAUAUUUUACUAAUUUAUCAAGCUUUAAAGAUCAUAAAAAAAUAAUCAUCAGGUAGUCUAAUGCAAGUUGUGUUUUACUUGGAGGCGACUAAUGAUAACUGGGUUGACUCCAGCAAGCAUUUCCCGUGCAAA
Long non-coding RNA from Populus nigra (black poplar), 1779 nucleotides. RefSeq lists it as uncharacterized. The record is from RefSeq and is a predicted model, not a curated record. The transcript is spliced from 3 exons. Lineage: Eukaryota; Viridiplantae; Streptophyta; Magnoliopsida; Malpighiales; Salicaceae.